UUUUUUUAAUUUUUUUUUUAUUGGAGUUUACUUUGCCAACAUAUAGCGUAACACCCAGUGUUCAUCCCAUCAAGUGCCCCCCUCAGUGCCCGUCAUCCAGUCACCCCAACCCCCCACCCAUCUCCCCUUCCACUACCCCUUGUUCAUUUCCCAGAGUUAGGUGUCUCUCAGGUUCUGUCACCCUCUCUGAUAUUUCUCAGGGGCUGAAUCCUAAGGGACAUUAUUAACAUGUGGGACUUGCAGAGGAAGAAGUACAGCAUAGAGAUGGAUUAGGGGCGUAGUAAGAGGACCUGGAGAGUUCUGGGGAGGCAGGAUGUCAAGAAGGAGGAGGGCAGGCCAUACUCUACAUGCUGCAGCACAGCUGGGGAGAUUGGGCUGAGUAAAGGCCACUGCGGGCAAGUGUUUCAGCACAAAGAGAAUGGCAGCUAGACUGCAAGGGCGGAAAGGAGUCAUGAGAAAGCUAAGUGGGAUGUGUAGUUGCUGUUUUGGGAGGUAUAAAAGAGGCCUGUGAUGUAUAUAUGUACCUAGCAGGAGGGUUUUGUUUUGCUUUUUUUCAACGUGGGACGAUCUUGGUGUGUUUGUAGGAGCUGGUGAGCCGGUAGGGGACAGAGUGAAGCAGUGAAAGAGCCUGAGGAUGGGACUCCUGAGUGGCUCAGUGGUUGAGCAUCUGCCUUUGGCUCAGGGUGUGAUCCUGGAAUCUGGGAUUGAGUCCCACAUCAGGCCCCUUGUAUGGGGCCUGCUUCUCCCUCUGCCUGUGUCUCUGCCUCUCUCUCUCUCUCUCUCUCUCUCUCUCUCUCUCAUGAAUAAAUAAAUAAAAUCUUAAAAAAAAAAAAAAAAAAGAGCCUGAGGAUGAAGCCAAGUCCUGGGGGAGGCAAAGCUGGAUGGGGUCAAGGGGACAAGAGAAACUGACUUUGCAGAGAAGGCACAUUUCAUUCUGUGAAGCUGAAGGGAUUGAUCAAGAAAUUUGGAAUUGAGUAAAGAAUUUAAAGGCACUCAGAUUAUAUCAAGCUAUCCAUGGGCUCAACCUCUUAGUGAAGUCGGGGUUGCAGUCACUUACAGAUGAAGGAGACAUAUGUGGUGGGAAAGAUAUGAACAGAAAGGACUCAAACUCUAUUGUAGGAAUAUAGAGGGAAUCAAAAUAAACAUUAUUAGCUUGCUAAUUAGUAAUAGAGGUUAGCUAGUGUGGAUUUUAAUGAUCAAGUAUCUAUCUGCUCUAUGCCAGGCAAAGAUGAGUAAAAAUGGUACUCUCUGAGCUCAUAGCCGAGUUGGAGACACAAAUGAUGGAGCAUAGCAAGUUAUCUUGCGGAAGUAUGUAUGGGGUGCCGUAAGAUCGCAGAAGAGGGACCUCAGAGUUGGACUUGAGGAGGGAACAGAGGAGAAGAAGGAGCAAGUUUCAGGAUGGCAGGAAAGGCUUCUAGGAGUUAGUGACAGCUCAGCUAAGCCCUGAUAGGGGAGUGGGCCUUAUCUGGGUAGUGGGAAAGUCCAAUGUAAAUAAAGUAUUCCCAGGACAGGAAGUAUCAGAACCAAAGCUUUUUGGAGAGAAGCAAGGCAGAGGUCUGUAAUCUGCCUGCUUCAGAAUCACCUGGAGGCUUACAGUAAAUGUAGAUAUCUACGCUCCACACUAGACUGAGCAGAACUCUGCAUAGUAUCCAGGAAUCUGCAUUUUUAUCAGACUUUCCAGGUGUUCCUUAGAGAUGACAUUUGUUGAAUAGUUAAUGUUAGUUGCUGUUCUAGAUGUUCACAUAGGCUCUCACAGUUGUCUCAGUAACCCUUGGGAUAGGAUGAGGAAAGUGGACAUUGAGAAGUCAUUUGCCCAAAGUCAUACAGGUAAUAAGCAGUGGCUAGGGUUCUAAACUGUCCCCAACACAGCUUGUUAGGGAGGCACAGGUAGUUUGUUUGACUGACAUAUAGUGGGCACACUGAGGGAUAAGGUGAUGGUGAUGAUGGUGAUAAUAGAAGAAGGUGAUGGUGAUGAUGGUGAUAAUAGAAGAAGGUAGUGGUGAUGAUGGUGAUGACGAUGAUGAUAGAAGAAGGAGCCUUGUUAAAAAGCUUAGGUUUUGGCUUCAUGGUCUAGUGACUUUUUCAAUAAUCCUUAUGUACUGAGAAUGAAAGCAAAUAAGGCAGAUAUUGGCUUAUCAGGUUUUUACUGUACCAAACUGCCACUUUAACCUCCAUAGGCUUGUCCCAGUCUGCCUUCAUUUCUCCCCACUGCAUUUCUUUUUUUUUUUUUUUAAUUUUUUAUUUAUUUAUGAUAGUCUCACAGAGAGAGAGAGAGAGGCGGAGACAUAGGCAGAGGGAGAAGCAGGCUCCAUGCACCAGGAGCCCGAUGUGGGAUUCGAUCCCGGGUCUCCAGGAUCGCGCCCUGGGCCAAAGGCAGGCGCUAAACUGCUGCGCCACCCAGGGAUCCCCACUGCAUUUCUUCUAAUAAUCAUGUCUCACUGGAUUGUGCACCUGGACAUGUACCUAUGCCUUCCUCAUCUGUGUUGUAUGUUCAAGUGUCUAGCUCUAACUACUGUAUUUAUUUAGUUGUGUGUCGUGUGUGUGUGUGUGUGUGUGUGUGUGUGUGUGUGUUUCCUUAGUAGAAUUUAACCUUCAGGAGUUUGGGGACUUGGCAUGUUUUCUUUGUUGUAGCCCUAGGACCUGGCACAUAGUAGUCACUCAGUAAUAGAUGUUGAAUAUGUGAAACCUUCUAAUAUUGACCCUCUCAUCUUUCUCUCUCUCUCUCUCUCUCUCUCUCUUUCUCUCACAUAUGUCCUACCACUUACUUGGCUUCACCACUAUUAAGCUCAGCAGGCUCUUACGCUUUCUAAUAUUUCUGCCCCAGGUUCCUGCGAGACAGAUCUCUGCUACAGUAGUGUCCUAGCAGAGAGGUAAGAAGGAACAAAUAUGUUUGGGGCACCUGGGUGGCUCAGUCAGUUAAGUGUCCAACUCUUGGUUUCAACUCAGAUCAUGAUCUCAGGGUUGUGAGAUCGAGCCCCACAUCAGUCUCUGGGCUUGGCAGGGAGUCAGCUUGAGAUUCUCUUUCUCCCUUUCCCCCUCCCCCCUGCUCAUGCUCUCAUGCUCUCUCUCUAAAAUAAAUAAAAUCUUAGGGAAAAAAGGGAACAAAUGAGUAGACAUGCUGCUUUGUGAUACCUCUUUUAUUAUUAUCCAGUGGUGCUAGUUUAACUUCUUCCUUAUGUCCCCAGAUAAGCUCCUAAUUUUCCUACCUUCUGAUUCAGUGCCCCAUACACGGGUGCUCAAUACAUAUUGAUGUCAUCCAGUUGGCUUUUUUCUAACUUACAAGUGUCUAUGUAUAUGUUUUCAUUGAACUUUCCCUAAGUAGA
Molecule: long non-coding RNA, 3323 nt
Filed under: Canis lupus familiaris (dog)
Lineage: Eukaryota; Metazoa; Chordata; Mammalia; Carnivora; Canidae
Description: lncRNA (ENSCAFG00000051829.1)
Source: RNAcentral